AUUGAACGCUGGCGGCAGGCCUAACACAUGCAAGUCGAACGAGUGGCGGACGGGUGAGUAAUGUCUGGGACACUGCCUGAUGGAGGGGGAUCACUACUGGAAACGGUCGCUAAUCCCGCAUACCCUGAUAUGUGCCCAGAUGGGAGUCGCUUGUUGGUGGGGUAACGGCUCACCAAGGCGACGAUCCCUAGCUGGUCUGAGAGGAUGACCAGCCACACUGGAACUGAGACACGGUCCAGACUCCUACGGGAGGCAGCAGUGGGGAAUAUUGGACAAUGGGCGAAAGCCUGAUCCAGCCAUGCCGCGUGUGUGAAGAAGGUCUUCGGAUUGUAAAGCACUUUAAGUUGGGAGGCGUUACCAACAGAAUAAGCACCGGCUAACUUCGUGCCAGCAGCCGCGGUAAUAC
This 406-nucleotide ribosomal RNA is filed under the name uncultured bacterium. RNAcentral's name for it is "partial 16S ribosomal RNA". It matches the Rfam family "Bacterial small subunit ribosomal RNA", at positions 30 to 526 of the family's 1533-position model. The record is from RNAcentral.